GGGAAUUUGUGAAAUGCUACCCUUCCACACCUUUUAGCAAGAGAAUUCUGACAGGCUGGAGAGGUGGGAAGGUGUGAGACUCUGGCUCGUCCAGAAGGGAACUGUAUACAUUUACUCCUGUACAUCCUUGCUCUAGCAAAGGGGCAAAGGCCAGAAAAUGGAAUUCUAAGUUGUCACGACCCUCAGAUUAUAGAUUCCUCUUCUCCAGAGGGUGAAAUUGAGGGCUCUGAGUCAGAGAGUGAAUUGCACAGAGGGCCACACCUAGAAACAUGUAUGUAUGUAUGUAUGUAUGUAUGUAUGUAUGUAUGUAAUUUAUUCCAUUUCUCUCCUGCCUUUCCCCCAAGGAGCUCAAGGCAGGGUACAGUUUUCCUCCUUCUCCAUUUUAUCUUUACAACAACAACCUUGUGGCAGUGGCAUAGCAUGGGUUUCUAGCUCCCGGGGCCAUGCAGAGAGGGGUGAGUGGCAAAUAGAUGGACUACACAUGCACAUUCAACUGCAUAAUACUGUCCUCCUCACCCUGGAGAUGGCAGCCGCAGAGAUAAGAAGAAAAGAGGCAUUCUAUUGAUGGGAGAGGUCACUUUGUGGUUCACAUGGAAAUUCCGUUUUCAAUGGAGCCCAGCCACAGAAGCGCAGAGCGGUAUUAAGACAGCACCGGGUGUUGAAAUUUCACGCCCCUAACAAUUUUGUGCCUGUGGCAACUGCCUCUGUGCCCCCAUGCUACACCACUGCCUUGUGGGUAGGUUAGGCUGAGAGUAAUGACCCGCUGAAGGUCACCCAGAAAACUUCAUGGCUAAGUGGAGGAUCUGAACUCUACAGUUCUAUGAUUCCAUGAUUCUUUGGGGGAAACCUUGACGCUUUAAAGUGGUGAUACACUGCUCUGAAUGUAUAGUGGUCUUCCUCCAUUAUGUUCUGCCUCCAUUUCAGAACUGGACUUUUUUCUGGUAGUGUGCAAUCUGAAGGUGACUUACAGUACUUAGCAAAGGGCCAGUUUGAUUUAGUGGCUUGGAUCCAGAAACCAUAACCUCUAAUCCCAAUACAGUUGAGCGCUGACCGGGUGGCCUUAGGUCAGUCAUCACUCACCUUCAGGCUGCUGUCUGGAAACAUGGGAUUAAUAAUAACCUGUCUGUGAGGCUUGCCAUGGGACUAUCUGAAAUAAGAAAGCAUUCAUCUUUAUUACCAUUCUAAGCCUGGGAGCUGAAGAAAAAAUUAAGCCAGGUCCUACACAUGAUAUGGGAAUCUGGGUUGUAUUACAGUAAUACCUCCGUGAACAUCCGCCUUGUCUAGCGUCCAUUCCGGCGAAUGUCCAUGACAAACCUGGAAGUACCGGAAUGGGUUACUUCUGGGUUUGCUGCUCGCAUAUGCGCAGAAAUGCUAAAUCAAGCUUCGCACAUGAGCAGAAGCGAAAACCGCUCUGUGUGCAUGCGCAGAUGCGGCGCUUUGCCCUGCGUCCUUUUCGGCUAGUGGCCGGGGCUCCGGAAUGGAUCCCAGCCGCAAAACAAGGUAUGACUGUAUUAUUAUUAUUAUUUCUUUGGGGGUUUUCUUUUUGUAAUGAGAAGAGACAUUUUGGAAGGGUGGCUUUUGUAAUAUUUUCUCCAAAAUUCCAGGUCUUUUGCCACCACUUCUGGUUCGGUAGGACCACUUUGUGUGGCUUGAGCAAUGCCCCAACAGAGCAGGUGGCCAUGUUUCACCCCAGGUCUCUUCAGAUUCUGUGGGAUUCUGAUGGAGUCUAUUCUUAGGCCCAUUAUCAUUUAGGCUAGCAUCACAUACGCAAGAAAGCGACCUGACCACAAGAAUGGUAAGAACCAGUUAAAGGGGAAAUUAACAUGCUUCUACUCUGUAACCAGGACAACACAGGUUUGUACAUUUAAGAAAGGCCUUGUAAGUUGCCCUUACAAACUGAGCUACGGUCCUUGACAAUCGAUGGAUGACCCGGAGGUCUAGUAUUAUGAAGGAGAAUUCCCACUCCAACCUCUCCGCUGUUUCUGAUUGUAUAUAUUUGCAACAUAUCCCUCGUCUAGAAUCUGUUUUCUCGACGAAAAGCGGCUUCAGCUAUUCCCUGUAGAGAAGGUUCACCAAUCUCCUGAGAUUCAGCUGCUCUUUUCUGUCAGUUUUCCAGCUUCAUGACACAAGUUGUGUGAUCUGGUGUAAACUGCUAUUCAUAGCUGUCAGUGUUGACUAAAAAUGCAGGAGAGGUCUGCCUGCCAGCUGCCUAAACUGGGAAGCGUACCAGAGAGUUGGGCAAAUUGUGAAAUGCCUUGUUUUCACGAUGCCAAGACUUUUAGUCUUCUGCAUCCAUGUAAACCGAUGCUGUCACCUGUCAUUUGCACAGUUACUUCAUGCCGUGCUCUUAACUUGCCGUGUGAAAGAGCUGCAAAGUUGCCAAGGUGAGCUGAAGUUUUGCAGAAGGAGGUGGCUUUUUCUAGGAAAGCUCUGCCCUCACCAUGUAUGUGCAAUGGUCAGUGCCGGAUUUACAUAUAAGCUAAACAAGCUAUAGCUUAGGGCCCCACUCUCUUGGGGGCCCCAAAAAAAAAUUAAAGGAAAAAAACAACUGUAUGUACAUUUCCAAACCUAUCCAUUCUUAAGGAAAUCAGCCCUGAGUGCUCACUGGACAGACAAAUCCUGAAGCUGAGGCUCCAAUACUUUGGCCACCUCAUGAUAAGAGACGACUCCCUGGAAAAGAACCUGCUGUUGGGAAAGAUUGAGGGCACAAGAAGAAGGGACGACAGAGGAUGAGAUGGUUGGACAGUGUUUUUGAAGCUACCGGCAUGAGUUUGACCAAACUGUGGGAGGCAGUGGAAGACAGGAGUGCCUGGUGUGCUCUGGUCCAUGGGGCCAUGAAAAGUCGGACAUGAGUAAACAACUAAACAACAACAACAACAAAAACAUUGGCUGCAGCCCACCAUAGGAUUUUAGCCUUGUAGCCCAAAUGAAGUGUCCAUGAAUAGAAGCCCACUGAAUGAGCCCAGAUUUUUGGCAACAAGCAAUGGGAGCAAGUUCCUGCCUUCAUAUUAUUUAUUAUCUAUUGCAUUUAUAUCCCACCUUUUUCUCCAAGGAACUCAAUGUGGUCUGCAUGCUUCUCCUCCUCCUCAUUUAAUCCCCACAGUAGCCCUGUGAGAUGGGUGAGGCUGAGAGUGAGUGACUGUUAUUCAUUGAGCUUCAUGGCCCAGUGGAGAUUCAAAAUCUGGUCUUCCAGGUCCUCUUCCAGGACUCUAACCACUACACCACAUGGUUUGUACCCUACUUGAGUUUCCCAAUCAGUUGGAAAGAGGAUGCUGUUUUGUCUAAUGAUCACUGUUUUAUCCUUAUUGCUUUACCAUGUUUUGGUUUCGGUUUUAUGCCAUAAGCCAGCUCAGGAAAAUGUUGAUGAAGAAGGGAAGAUAUCAACUGAUGAAAUAAACACAUACACAGACAAACAAACUCAGCAGGGCAGAGCUUAUAUUCUUCCACCACUGCAGAGAUCAUCUCUGGAAAUGGCAUGCAUCUUUCCCCGCUCAGAGGUAUAGGUGAGCUCUUCCCACCCAGUGAUAAAAAUAAUGGGAUGGGGAAUUUUAUUAGCUGUGGAUGGAAGAUGUUUCCACUUCAAGAGUUUCUCUGCUGUACAGCACUUUUUAUUCCUUCUUUCAUAGCUGCUGGGGAGGGGCACAUUGACAAACUGGAAAGUGUCCAGAAAGGGGUUUUUAGGUUAGUGGGGAGUCUGAAAGCCACAGUGUAUGUGGAAGAGUUGUAAGCACUGGGUUUGUUUUACACAGAGAAGAGAUGACUAAAUAUCUGAAGGUUGUCAUGCAGGAAGAUGGAGCAAACCUGUUCUCUUUUACUCCAGAGGCUGUCCUAUGUGUGAAAAUGGGACUUUUUUUUUAGCUAAAUAUUUGGUGAAACUGCCUUAAAAAUGAAGAAUAAUUAAAUAAAUGUUAGAGUUGUGGAACUGACUGCCUCAGGAGAUAGUGAAUUCUUCUUCCCUGGAGACAUUUUAAGCACAUCUUGGCUGACCAUUUCUCACAGAUGCUGUGGUUCAACGGCCAGGGAGUUGGACUCGAAGGAAUUGUCAGGAGUUCAGCCUACACUUGAGUAGGACCCUGGCAGAGACACAUGCCUGACUGGCAUGUUUCCUCCCUCCUGAUCAAUCGUUCAGGAGCUUCAAAAGCUUUCUUCAGCCCAAACAUCACAGCAACUGAUGCCAACCGACACCGGCACACUUAGGGAUCCGCCGAGUUUGCGCAGUUGCGUAACAGACCUCAGCAACUCAGCAUUUUGGCUAAUCUACUUUAUUUACAUAUAAACACACGUGGAGCACUGCAACAUGGCUCCUCUCUCUCUCUACCAUCAGACAGCAGAGAGAAAAGAACAAAGGACAAUAGUCCCACUUCAUGGAACACAGUAACACAAACAUCCUGUCUCCGUCACUUCCCACUCUGUGCAGUCAAAACACAUACCGUCAUGUGAAAGACAAAAAUCCCAUGAUUGCAAUCAUAGAUUAGGAAUUCUAACAGGAAUUCCUAUCCCAAUCUUCCUCUCCAAGGAGCCCAUCUCAGAUAACACCCAAGAUCCUCCCUCCAACUCUAAAAAUAUUAUAUUACCUCCACUGUUCAUUUUGGACAAGACAAUGGCUGGAUUUCCCCAGACAGUGAGCACUGAAGUAUUUGACCCUCUGGGUUCUGAACGUUUCCCUAUGAAAGCAUCAAUGAAAUCUGGUAAAAUGUUCAGUUAGCUAAGGAGAAGAAAGUUGAAAUUAUUAGCAAACCAUACUAAGAGCAUAUUUCUUCCCAAAUGUAUUCCAAUCCGGCUUGCUCGCUUCUGCAACGUUUUGCUAUUCAGUGCCAUCCCUCUGAUGCAGAAAUUAAAUAAAAGGUCUCCAAAAGGAUACAUUUGCAUUCCUCAAUACCUAACAGUUAGGAGGAACUUGAAAUUGUAUCAUAAAGAGUAAUGGCACGGCAGUAACUCCCCUUAUUUCACACCUCCACAUGUGAAGUUCAGAAUGGCCCGUUUUCUUCCCCCAGUAACAACUUUAUGGGACUCCUUUCCAAUCUCUGACUAUGAUGAGAUAGUAAAGUCCAGUUCCUACAGUAAAGACUUCCCAGCAAAGACUUCCCUCCUUGCUGGAGUGCACUUUCAAGAGCGGCAGUUGAGAUGAAGAUCGUAAGAAUGUAAGGAUCUCUUUCUCCUAGGAAUUAAAGAGACAGAAGUUCCAAAAAGAAGAUGACUAAUUUGUUUAUAGAGGGAUGCGGGUGGCACUGUGGGUUAAACUACAGAGCCUAGGACUUGCCGAUCAGGAGGUCAGCGGUUCGAAUCCCUGUGACGGGGUGAGCUCCCGUUGCUCGGUCCCUGCUCCUGCCAACCUAGCAGUUCGAAAGCACGUCAAAGUGCAAGUAGAUAAAUAGGUACCGCUCUGGUGGGAAGGUAAACGGUUUUCUGUGCACUGCUCUGGUUCGGCAGAAGUGGCUUAGUCAUGCUGUACAUCGGCUCCCUCAGCCAGUAAAGUGAGAUGAGCGCCGCAAACCCAGAUUCAGCCACGACUGGACCUAUUGGUCAGGGGUCCCUUUACCUUUACCUUUAAUUUGUUUUUGCUAUGUAACAACAGUGGCUAGGAUUCUCUGCACACAAAAAAAUGGAAGGAAGAAGAAGUUCCCACCAAUAAAAGAAUGGAUAAGUGUAAUAAUUAUAGGGGUUGCUCGUGCGUAAGUUGCUGCCACUCCUGGCUAGGUUGCCUGGUUAAACCUUUUCUGUCUGGACAGCCCUUCACUUCGUGGCUGUUUCAGUCGCUAGCAGAAUCCGUCAGUGGGCGUUUCUUAAACCUUUUCCAGCAUAAAAGCUGUUUGACGCCAAGUCUCCUCCUACUCUCCCUGUGCGGAAGUCUUCUGCGCAGGGAGGGUGUGGGUAGCGGAGGACCCGUGCUCUCCCCGCUGGUCUCCGGCGAGGAGUCCUGGAGCCCCUCGCCGAUUCCCCAUCUGCCCCCUUUAUCCCUGGUGUUACGCUGAUUUCCUUCCCCAGCUGAUGAGCUGCGUCUCUCCCUGCUGGGCCCUUCUCCAGCAUCGCUUGGGAGCCUUGCCUCCGCCUCUGGCUCCGAUGUUAGUUCUCUGACAAUAAGUAAGGUGUUGGACUAUGAAGAGAGGGCAAAAGAAGAGAAUCUAAUGAUGAUUGCUUUGCAGAAGAAUGGAAGCCCUUUCUGGACUACUCAAGAGAACAUUAGAGGUUUUUUAUAAAAAUAUAUAUUAAAUUUUCACAAUUGAACAGUAAAUAUAAACCACAGAAAUAAUAAUAAUAAUAAUAAUAAUAAUAAUAAUAAUAAUAAUAAUAAUAAUAAUAAUAAUGGAAUAUUACAGUUUGAAGAACUCAUGAGCAGGAUUUGAAAUAUGAGCUGCGGAAAGAAUUUGAGAACAUAGUACUGAGGCAUUAAGAAUUAGAAGACAAUGUGCAGCUGGUGGGGGAGAGGAUUAAAACACAAUGGAAAAUGGGGUGGGAAGUUGAGAAAAAUCCCAAGAGCCAUGUUUUAGACAUUUUUUGUUGUUGUUAAAAAAAAGAGAUUGCCCAAGAUUUUAACUGAUUUUAUAUCUACUGCCUUUCGCAUUUUUCCUGUUGCUACGAUAAGGUUACCAGAUUUUUCCCAAUGAAUCCGGGGACACUUUUCAACUUCAAUGGAUCUUGUAUGGGGACUGAUUUGUAAAUCUGGGGACUGUCCCCGGGAAACAGGGACGUUUGCUAACCUUAUGCUACAAUAAUUGCUUUUGCUAUUGAUGUUUUUUGAUCUGCUUUAUAUUUGAUUUAAUGGUUCUUUUUUGUAAGCUAUUUUGGAAAUUGCGAUUAAUAAAAUGAAAAAAAAGAUAAAUUUAUAGAAUCAUAGAAUCAUAGAGUUGGAAGAGACCACAAGGGCCAUCGAGUCCAACCCCCUGCCAAGCAGGAAACACCAUCAGAGCACUCCUGACAUAUGGUUGUCAAGCCUCUGCUUAAAGACCUCCAAAGAAGGAGACUCCACCACACUCCCUGGCAGCAAAUUCCACUGUCAAACAGCUCUUACUGUCAGGAAGUUCUUCCUAAUGUUUAGGUGGAAUCUUCUUUCUUGUAGUUUGGAUCCAUUGCUCCGUGUCCACUUCUCUGCAGCAGCAGAAAACAACCUUUCUCCCUCCUCUAUGUGACAUCCUUUUCUAUAUUUGAACAUGGCUAUCAUAUCACCCCUUAACCUCCUCUUCUCCAGGCUAAACAUGCCCAGCUCCCUUAGCCGUUCCUCAUAAGGCAUCGUUUCCAGGCCUUUGACCAUUUUGGUUGCCCUCCUCUGGACACGUUCCAGUUUGUCAGUGUCCUUCUGACAGUUUGUCAGUGUCCUUAUGAUGUACUGAAAAUUAAUUUUGAAAAAUGAAUAGAAAUUUAUCACAAAAGGGAGAAAAGAAUGUAAGAAGAGCUUUGCUUGCUGGAUCAGGCCAAAGACCCAUCUAGUCCUACUCUACCAAGCAAUAAUUCAGAAAGUGGUAGACUCUCCUUUCUUUGAGGUUUUUAAGCAGAAGUUAGAAUAAUAGAAUUGUAGAGUUGGAAGGGACUCUGAGAGUCACCCAGUCCCAACCCCCGCAGUGCAGAACUCUCAACUAAUAUCAUCCAUGACAGUUAACCAUCCAACUUCUGCUUAGAAACCUCCAAGGAAGGAGUGUCUACCAUCUUCUGAAGGAAUCCCUUCUAUUGUUGAACAGCUAUUAUUGCCAGAAAGGUCUUCUGAACUUUCCCUAGAUCUGAAAAACACACACACCUACAUCCUUGAUCCAUUGUGUCCAUGAUUAGGUCCUCAGGAGAACCAUGGCAUCCAAUUCAGGCUCUGAAGUAAUUGUUUAAUGUUUGGUUUUCUGAUCCCAGUUCCACAGUGAACCAGAUGUAGACAUCCUUUGCCCACCACCAAUCAAAGUCAUGAAAAUGUGAAAAUGACUGGAAGAGAAAUACUCCUUCCACCUUUAAAGCAACCCUCUGUAGUGUCCAGUGCCAGAUUUACGUAUAAGCUAAACGAGCUAUAGCUUAGGGCCCCAUUCUCUUGGGGGCCCCAAAAAAAAUUAAAGGGAAAAAAAACCUGGAUGUACAUUUCCAAAAUAUAAAAAACAAAUAAAAUAAAACCUACAUACAGCAACAUUGUUUUGUGUUGUGUAGGCUCCUAUGAUGUAAGUCAUGGGCCCCGCCUGCUAGCCUGCUCCCUAAAAUAUCACGGCUUUGCUCAUUUCUAUAUAUAGGGUGCCUACAUUCUGAAUGGAAUGUAUUUCGGUUCAACACUUACUUUGAUAAAAUUGACUCUGUGCCAGUCUGAGCCAAAUCAGGCUGUUUUAUAAAGCACCAAAUCAGGCUCCAUCUCCAUUACUGUGCUUACUACACACCACUUUGAUAUAAGAGUAAUUGCUGCUGCCUUGCAUCCGUAGAUAUGCUUUUCUCUUUGGUGCUUACAGGGCAUUCCUGGUUUUUUCCCAUUUCAUCCCACUGAGACCUCUGCAAAGUAGGUCAGCCUCAUAUAACCAUGGCUGAGCUCUGCAUCUUCCCAGUUCAUGGCUGAGCAGGGAUUUGAAUACAGAUCUCAUUUCUCAUGUGUGAUGUUCUCUCCAUAUCACCACACUAUGCUAUGCUGCUACUCUGCAUUCAGCUAGGGUGGAUUCUGUCUUGGUGUACCUGCACAGUGACCAGAAGGACCACAAGCCAGUGCCAUCACUCUAUCCUUGUUGCAGUAGGCACAUCAUAGGCCAUCUACACCUGUCCCAGUUCAUGUCCUCCCCAUGACCAUGGUUGCCACCUGGUGUAUGUACACAAUCCUCUUCCCUUUUGUGACUGCCACUUGGCGGAUAAAUCGUAAACUGCAACUCCAAACUCAUACAUCAAUUUCUCUCCGAACCCUUUGACCAGUGGUUCUCAACCUUCCUAAUGCCGCGACCCAUUAAUACAGUUCCUCAUGUUGCGCAAAUGGCUUUAGAUACCUAUUAUGUCCAUAAAUUACCGUAUAGCAUAUAUUCAGCACAAAAAACAGUGGCAAUUUGUUGUUGACAAAGGACAGCUGGACAUAUAAAGGGCCCCAUUACCUUCAGUAGCUCAGGGCCUCAUCAAACCUAAAUCUGGCCCUGGUAGUGUUGGAGGAAGAAGAAGAAGAAGAGGAGGAGGAGGAUGAGGAGGAGGAAGAGGAAGAGGAAGAGGAAUUUGGAUUAAACAUGUGGCUCCCUUGAUCACAUUUCAUUUAGAAAACUAUACAUUUCCCACUACCCUUUAGCCCAACGAUUGUGGCACCUGUAUCGCUUCCUCCGGCUACCAGAGCACUUGGUAAAAUUGUUCCUCAACAUUUGAACUCAACAUUUUAAUUUUAGUUCAAAGAACAGUGCAUGAUUAUUAACAUUUUCUCUCAACCAGAUACUCCUGCACUUUACGGUCUUAAUGAAAAGCUAAUUAAUUUUCCCCCCCUCCUGAGCUGUUGUAAUUUCUCCCCCCCCCGCCCAACUUGCUGAUUUCCAAUUUGACAUUCUGCAUUAAUUAGAUAAGAGGAGAAGCCGAUGGGAGGGGGCUUUAAUUGCCUCAGAAAGGGGGAGGGGAUUUAAUUCCCGACAAAACGUCUUUAUCUUCUAUCAAAGGUGAGCAAGGCAGAAAUUAACUGCCAAUGCAAGAACUCCCACCCCCACUCCCCGCCCACGGCGAAAACUUAUCUAGCAUGAAAUGCCACGCAGAAAGCAUGUUUGCCUUGCUCCGGGAUCUCUUGGGUCUCUCAGAGUUUGUUCUCUUGAACAAGAUGAAGAGAUGCAUUGCAAUUCCACACGGAAAUGAGCGCUUGAGCUCAAACCAGGGAAAUCCAUAAGUACACGCUUAGCUUCGCAGAGGUGAAUGGUCGGGGUUGCAAAUUUCUAUGUAUUUCCCAUGAGGUUAUAGCCCUGUCAGUUUCAUAUAAUUAUAUAUUUUGUAUAGAUCUUAGAGGCUGAAAGCUACAGGAGAAGUUUCUGUCCACUUAAUGGAAGGCUUUUAGUGUUCCUUGAAAUUCCUGCAGGUCUGUUGCUUAACCCUUCUUAAUUUGCCUCAGAGGGUCUUGCACAUAAAAAAAAAAUGAGGGCCCCUGUAGUAUGCAAAUGAUUAAAGAACGCCAGUGCUCCUAAGAUUUUGUGCAGGGAUGAAAAGGGAGAAAGCCUAAAUGGUGCACAGAAGAGAAUUUAGUGGCCAACGUGUUACAAAUUCAGAAUCUUAGGACUUCCGGGUUAGCGCCAUCGGCGAAUGGCGGAGUUCCUCCCACUGGAGGAACUGGCUCCGUGGAAACUGGGUCUUCCCGCCGCGGCGAAAGUGGGGACCCGCUAGAAAUACCAGGCGGAGGAAGCCUGGGAAUGUGGGGUUCGGCAGGGCACCAGGAGCGCCCCCCUACUCACGGGGAACCCCUUUUUGGGAUUCCAGAGUGAAGUGGGGUGAGUGGCGCAGUGCUGCGAACUGACUGCUACUUUCACGGAGUGAAGCCGCACAGCCAUCGCCGGAGAGCGCUGACUUUUUCCUGUGGACAAUUGGAUCUAAAACAAGUACCCGUGAGUAGAAACGGAAAAUUGGAUCAAGAAAUAUCUUAAUUUGACAUCGAAGCAGGAAGGUUCAAAACAGGAAGUCCGCCUUCCGCUUUUUGUAUAUAGACUGAAGCAAAAACCUUGUAAGCUAAAGCCUGGAAAGUCGUUAAAAAAGCCUAAAUUUCCUUCAUUUAUAACUACUGAAACCCCCUUGGAAGCAGGAGAACGGGGGGUGGGCCGUUGGGUAACGCCUGCAGGAGAGGGAGUGAAGAAAGAUAAGUUUCCACCGUCUCUAACCUGGGAACGGGGUGUCAGAGACAGAAAUUGUUGGAGAGGUUCAUUGACUGUGAAUGGAAUACUUUGACAGAUAGCUAAAGAAGAGAAAUAAACUGAUUCCAAUGUUGCCUUUUGCAUUCUAAAGAAACAAAAUAUCUGAAAAAAUGAAAGUAAUUUUCCUUUGUUGGACUUGCCUUAAAAAGAUGGAUACAAAUAGAAAUUGUCUCCUCUAGAGGAGCUUGCUAAAUUGUUGCUGCAGUCUACUUGAGGACUCCACAGCUGUGAGAUUAAGAUCGUGGGAUUAGUCCUUUUGACCUUGACUAAAUAUGAGCUGGAAGGAAGUUUUGGUGCUUGCUUUAUGCAAGACAAGUGCUUUGUUGGAACAGAUGCAUGAGAAGAUGGAUUUGAUGAAUGAGAAAAUGGAUUCGAUGACUUGUGUGGCCAAUAACUGUGGACAAUUAGUGAAUAGUGAUACAGAAACCAUCCAGGGUCCAACUCAGGAACCUGUAUUGAUUGGGCAAGUGCAGAAGAUAAUGGAGGAGGCUGCGGUUGCACCUUAAAUAAUACAAAUGGAGAGGCCCAAGGCCCUACAGGAGCAUAAGCCACUGUUUUUGAAGACUGAAGUUGGAGUGGGCCAGGGGGAAUCUGGAGCUGAGGAGGCUUUUAACUUUGGAGAGACUUCGAAAUAUGCCCGUAAAUAUUUUUUGGAUUAUAUUGAUGACUGUGGGGAGUGGGACUGUGGGGAAUAGGCUGGUUUGAUGAGGGAGACGGAGAUAACUUUGGGUUGGAACCCCCCAGAGACCUACUCCUCAAUGAGAAAGGAAAGAAAUUAAGAAAGAGACCAACAAAAGACAAGGAAAAGUGCAAGUAUAAACAAGAAGAAGAAGAUCUGCAGAAGGGACAUGGAAGAGACUUAAGGGCCUCGGACAUAAGGCUUCCAGGUUGAUGGACUAGAUGGAAUGGACAGUAAGGACUGACACAACCCGAGACCAGGAAGAAGAGACGUUGGAUGAAGAUUGGAAGAAAAUUUAUAAAGAAAACUUUUUAUUUAGGGAAUUAGCCUAAAAUUAAUGAAUAUUAGGGAAAAUGUUGGAAUGAAACUAUAUGACUCUAGCAGAAAUGAUAUCAGGGGUUAUGUAUAACUGAGUAUUAAGUUUCAAGCUUUAAGGUAUUUUAUGGUAAGAUAAGGUUAAAUAAAUUAAGGUAAUUUGAAUAACAGAAUAUGGGGAAAGAUGGAAAGGAUCUGUCGAGUUAAUUAAUAGGUUAAAUUGUUAAGAUAAAUUAUUUAAUAAAAAUUGAGAAAGAUGGAAAGAAUUUGCUGAAAUAACUAACUAAACUAGAAUACAAAAAGGGAGGUGUGAGGAGGUCAACGAAACAAGCAAAUGGAAGUUAAAGAUAUGCAAUAAGGGAUUUGUGUCUUUUUCCCCCCUUUUUAUAUUUUUUUUUACUGUAUUGUUGUAUUGGUUUUUAUGUUUUGCGUUUUCUCUUCUUUUUAUGUAUUGUAGUGUUGUUUUUUAUUUUUUAUUUUUCCCCUGUAAUUCUGAAAUUAUUAAUAAAUAUUAUUAAAAAAAACCAAACAAAUUCAGAAUCUUGCUCGGGGCUGAUUCCGAUUCAGCUCUUUGCAGGAAAACCAAAACAGUUUUGCAAUUAGAAUUGGGGCAGGAGAGAGAGAGAGGGAGGGAGGGAGGGAGAGAACAAUAAAUUAAGUAAAGUAUAUUCACUUUUAUUAGAUAGGAAAACAGACUGGUAUGGAAUGACAGCAUGGGAAUAUACCUAUUUGCUUGCAAUUUUGCAGGCUGUAUCCACUCUGUAGGAUAAAUGAAGCAGAUGCCAAAACUGUAAAGGCUGCCCUUGGGGAAACACCUUGCAGCUAUCCUGAAAUUUGGUCAGAUUCAGGAUCUUGGAAGGGGCGAAGUUGCCUGCAAAUUUCAUGCAUUUCUGUGAAGUGGGGGGGGGUUAUAAUGUCCCAAUUUCGAAGGGAAUUCAGGCAGGCUCUGUGCCAGCCUGAGCCAAAUCAAGCUGUUUUAUAAAGUACCAAAUUAGGCUCCCUCCCGUUACUGUGUUUACUGCACACCAGUUUGAUAUAAGAGUAAUUGCUGAUGCCUUGCAUCCGUAGAUAUGCUUUUCUCCUCAGCACUUAUAGGGCAUUCCUGGUUCUUUCCCUUUCAUCCCACUAAGACCUCUGCAAAGUAGGUCAGCCGAAGAUAUCCACAGCUGAGCUCUGCAUCUUUCCAGUUCAUGGCUGAGCAGGGACUUGAAUACAGAUCUCAUUUCCCAUGUCUGACAUUCUCUCCAUAUCACCACACUAUGCUAUACUGCUAGUUUACAGUGAGAGCUGGACCAUAAAGAAAGCUGAUCGCUGAAGAAUUUAUGUUUUUGAAUUAUGGUGCUGGAGGAGACUCUAGAGAGUCCCAUGGACUGCAAGAAGAUCAAACCUAUCCAUUCUGAAGGAAAUCAGCCCUGAGUGCUUACUGGAAGGACAGAUCGUGAAGCUGAGACUCCAAGACGUUGGCCACCUCAUGAGAAGAGAAGACUCCCUGGAAAAGACCCUGAUGUUGGGAAAGAUGGAGGGCACAAGGAGAAGGGGAUGACAGAGGACGAGAUGGUUGGAUAGUGUUCUCAAAGCUACGAGCAUGAGUUUGACCAAGCUGCGGGAGGCAGAGGAAGACAGGAGUGCCUGGCGUGCUCUGGUCCAUGGGGUCACGAAGAGUCUGACAUGACUAAACGACUAAAGAACUACAACAGGGUGGAUUCUGUCUUGCUGUACCUGCACAAUGACCAGAAGGACUACAAACCAGUGGCAUCACUUCAUCCUUGUUGCAGUAGGCGCAUCAUAGGCCGUCUACACCUGACCCAGUACACCUCCUCUCCCCGACCAUGGUUGCCACCUGGUGUAUGUACCCAAUCGUCUUCCCUUUCGUGACUGCCACUUGGCGGCUAAAUCGUGAACUGCAACUCCUAACUCAUACAUCCAAUUCUCUCUCAACCCUUAGACAUUUUACAGCACCACUCCUUUGUUUACAAGGUAUCAGAGAGUUCUUUUGCAGAGUAAAAGUGGCAACUUUGACCGCCAUUAAUAGACCAAGAAAAAAUUAUGUACAGUGGUACCUCUGGAUGCGAAUGGAAUCCAUUCCAGACCCCGGUCACAUCCUGAAGUGAACGCAAUCCGUGUCUGCGUGUGUGCAGGUCACGAUUCGCCCGCUUCCGCGCAUGCGCAUGAUGUCAUUUUGACCAUCUGUGCAUGCACGAGUGGCAAAACCCGGAAGUAACGUGCUCUGUUACUUCCAGGUUGCCGCAGCGCGCAACCCGAAAAUAUUCAUUCCAAAGCUACUUCAACCCGAGGUAUGACUGUAUUUAUUUAGUAGUUAACAGCAUGGCCUAUGGCAAUUAUUAUAUUUUAUUUGCACUAGCCAGGUCUGAUAAUGGACAACUAAUUGGCACACUUAAUUGGGUUUAAAUUACUGGUGUCUUGUUAGACCUGGCAUCCCUCCCCCCACCUUCCUCUUUGUCCAAGGUGGUAUUCUGGGGUGGGGUGGGGGGUUGACAUGCAUUUAAUGUGCUGGUGGUUUUAAUUCUCUCUUUUUAUUUGCUACGCAAAUGCACAGUCGUUUGCAUGCUAAAAAAAGGCUCAGCACUUUGGACAGCACCAUUUUUUAUUUUUUUAUUGGCAGUCAGAUCCUCAUGAGUGACCAUAGCAACAAGGGGAUUUCCCUUAGUUUGCAUGGCAGGGGCAAUUCUCUGAGGCCCUCUCAUGCUGUAUUGUCCAGAAUUUAGACCUUAAGACUGUUAAAUUCAGAGAUGAGCCUCAAAUGAAAGAUCACAGUCCAGUAACUGGGUAAGUCUCAUUCCAGUGGUUCACUAGUAGCAGGGCACUCCUAUGAAAGAGGCUUCCAUCUCCCCACUCCUGGCUGUAUGUUUAAUUAGGUCUGUUUGUUUGUUUACGUAAAAACCACAAUUUCACAUAAGCUCUGCCCUUAAACUACUCUGGGGAUGGAUCCAGGGUGGGGAGGGUGCAAAACCUAUUUUCCAGAAACAGUCCUGGAUUUACAGAAGCCAUCCCAGUUUCAGAUAUGAUCCUGGAAUAUCCCAGUUUUUCUUAGGACACCCCUAUUCUUAUUGGAGAAAUGUUGGAGGGUAUGGAGUUAUGUGAGGGACGCGGGUGGUACUGUGGGUUGAACCACAGAGCCUAGGACUUGCCGAUCAGAAGGUCGGCGGUUCAAAUCCCCACGACAGGGUGAGCUCUUGUUGCUCGGUCCCUGCUCCUGCCAACCUAGCAGUUCGAAAGCACGUCAAAGUGCAAGUAGAUAAAUAGGUACCGCUCCGGUGGGAAGGUAAAUGGCGCUUCCGUGCACUGCUCUGGUUCGCCAGAAGCAGCUUAGUCAUGCUGGCCAAUAAAGCGAGAUGAGUGCCGCAACCUCAGAGUCGGCCAUGACUGGACCUAAUGGUCAGGGGUCCCAUUACCUUUAUUGAGUUAUGUGACCCUCCGAGCCAAUGAGAUAAAUAACUGUACAACCUUUAGAAGUCAUCUGAAGGCAGCCCUGUAUAGGGAAGUGGUUUUUUUAAAUGUUUAAUGAUUUAUUAUGUUUUUAUUUAUGUUGGAAGCCACCCAGAGUGGAUGGGGCAACACAAGUCAGAUGGGUGGUGUGUUGUUGUUGUUGUUGCAGAUGAUGAUGGAUAGGACUCCCUAUUUUCAUCAGAUAAAUAUUGGUGGGUAUGUGGGUGGUGCCCAGGUUAGCCUAGAGGGAGUCACCCCUGGACUGAAUCCACAGAGCCAAUAAGGGGUGCUGUGUAUAGCCCUAUUAAAAACACAAGUGCUUUUAUUAAAAAUACAGGUGACACUUUUUUUAGUCAAUCAAAAGUGUUUUAACUGAUGAACCUAAUUGACCGAAUGUUUCAGCUGUACAAAUAAUACAUUUUUGAAGCGAUUGGGCUUCAAAUAGGUGUUUGCCACCUAUGGUUACACUGGGCCAAAUUUCAAAUGCUCCAGAAAUGGUGCACGUGAUGUGGGCAGCUUCGUAUGCUAGGCAAGGCAACUUUCUUGUUGUGUUUGGGACUCUUUGCUAUUUUGCAAGGAAAGUACAUUUAUUAUUAUUGCCAGGUGACCAUUCGAGAAUAGAUGGCUCAGCUGACCUUUUCCAUCCAAAAUGCUGCAGUUUAUCACUGAGAGCACCGGUUCUGCAUUUUCUUUAAAGGAAUCAUUUCGAUGGAGUUUCUUACUUAAAAAAAAAAUCCUAGACAAGAGCGAUGGCUGAGGUGCAUGUGGGGAUUUGGCCUGGCAGAUCAAUUAUCUUCCAGAAGGCAGCAAACUGUAAAGAAGGAGGGAGAGAGAGACGAAGGAUAGGAAACCAGCUCCUUAAAAUGUUACAUUAGGGCACAGUAACAGCUCAUUAGAUUAUACAAGGUAGGUGUAAUUGCCCAGAAAAGAUGCACUGCCGUCUAGUGAUGCUUAAUUUCAUUGCUGAUCUUUACGUACCGCUACAGCCACUCAGGAGGUGAGAUCUCUACCCAGGAAUCCCUGUAGUUGAAAAAUGCACAGGCGUUGAGACACGCACAACACAAUUUGGCCGCGUCUAAGAUUUUCGGAAGCUGAAAGUGUGGCAACAAGCUUCUAGAGUUCAGAGUUAUAUGGGUGCCAUUUUUCCACUAACCCUUCACUGAAUAAUGGAUCUGCCCCCUGACUUGUCCUAUUGCAUAACAUGACAUCAGGGCCCAGGGCAUUCUGGGAAAAUGAAGAUGGCCGCCGCUGCCAUCACUUGCCCCUGUGCUUCUCAGUGGUGGGAUGAGGAAGAACCAGAUGGUUGGAGUCUCUGAAUUUUUCACCACCAUCACCAGUUUUCUUAUCCAUUUACAGUUAAUUUGUAAAUAUUCAAUAAACUAUUUCCAUUCUUUUAUAAAAAGUUAGUUAUCUUGAUUUCUUCCCCCCCCCCCCCAGUACUUUUCGCCAUUUCUGCAUAUUCCACCAGUUUUUGUAUACAUUCUUCUUUUCCUGUGACGACGACUUCUUUCCAUUUUGGGGCAAGUAACAUUCUUUCCACUGUAGUCACAUACAUGAAUCAAUUUCUAUACAGUUUGGAUAGUUCUGUACCUAUUAUUCCCAAAGGAAGCAACUUUCUUUAUGCCAUGCAUAAAGAACAUUAUUCCACAAAGAGGGGCUCUGUGGCUCCCAGAGAGGACUGUGGACACUUUUUCAUUCAAUAAACCUCCGUUGUGUCUUCUGGGUGUGCUGGGCCCGGGGGUUAACCCGAGCAACACGGUCCAGGUCCGGUUCCGAAUCCAAGGAUUUGGACGAGGAGUCAGUCCAACUGGGCCAAGGCAGGAAACCAGGCUAGGUCAGGCACAGGGUCUCAGGCAGGUUCCAGCAGGCAGCAGUGUUGCUCCCGCAACCUGGGGCGGGGUCCGACAGCCUUUUAUCUCUGACGGGGUAACGGUUAGGGUUAGGGUCCUGAUCCUCCGGUGACUCACCUCCCUGUUUCGCCCGAAGGCGAGUACUCCUCCUGCGAAUACUCAGGUCUCUCCUUCUCUCAGACCUUAGUCUCUGCAGCUUGGGAGACGUCGGUGGGUUACUAGAUCCAGAGGCCACCUCAGCCUCUCUUGACCCAACUGAUAGUGGAGCAGCUGUAAGUGAUGGCCCAGCUGAAGGCAACAAGGUAAUCCCCACAUCUGGAGCCAGGGCAGGCUCAGGCCCCUGAUUCGGCCCAGCUGGUGCUUGUUGCAGGGGAACCUGUGCAGACUGGGGCUCUUCAGAAUCAGGCCCCAGACUCAGUUCAGAUGCCGUCUGGUGCGGACUGAGACUCCUCUGGCUCCGAAUCCGAGCCCGAGUCCCAGGCCAUCACACCGGGCAUGCUUUUUGUCACUGCCACAAUGUGAUCCGUAGCAGCUAGCUCUGAUCUUUCCCGAACCCUUUUUCUUUUUGGAAAGGCUCUGUGUGGUACAUUCACCUCUUCUUCCUCACCCAUUCACACAGUCCAUCCAUCCUCAUUUGCUGCUCUCACGAUUCCUACCCCCCACCCCUGCUGGUUCAUAUGCAACACAUGGCAGCUCUGAGUGCUCUCCAGUGCAGAACUUGUAGGACAUCCAUUGAUUCUGCCUCGAUUGAGAAUGUUACGAUGGCAUUGGGGCAGAAAAUAGAGUGUGCUUUAAUGUGACACUUGAAGGCAUGUGCGAGCCAGACAAAUGGGGAGUGGGAACAGAGGCACAGCAGAGCGAGAGCAUUGUUUUUCUAUCUAGAAAAUAUUUUUUUAAAAUAAAAAUCAAGUUGUUGAAGUUUAAAAUCUCUCCCUGGGCGCUUAUCAUGCUGAGAUAUGAACAGUUUGUUAUGUUUCUUCCAGGUGGUAUGUAACUUUUCCCCAGAAGCAGAAGGUAACUCUGCAAGCGUUCCCCUCACCAUCGUAAUAUGAUAGUCAUCUUUAAACAUCUGAAGGGUCGUCGCAUGGAAGAUGGAGAAAGCUUGUUUCCUGCUGCUCCAAACCAAGGGAUUGAAAUGAAAAGGAAGGAAAUCUUGAGUAAACAUCGGGCACAACUUUCUGGUGGAAAGAGCUCUUUGACAGUGGAACUGUCUACCUUAGAAGGUGGUGGAACUUCACUGAAAGUUUUUAGCAGAGGUUGGAUGGGCAUCUGUCAGGGAUUCUUGAACUAGAUGGCACUUCCGACCUGCGAUGCUUCGAGCAAAAGGACAUAGCUCAGUGGUAAACAGAUCAUCUGUUUUUCAUGCAGA
This 18459-nucleotide long non-coding RNA is filed under the name Podarcis lilfordi (Lilford's wall lizard). The record is from RNAcentral. Lineage: Eukaryota; Metazoa; Chordata; Lepidosauria; Squamata; Lacertidae.